Molecule: ribosomal RNA, 654 nt
Filed under: uncultured archaeon
Lineage: Archaea
Description: bacterial SSU rRNA
Rfam family: Archaeal small subunit ribosomal RNA
Source: RNAcentral
GCCUAAAGCGUCCGUAGCCGGCUCUGUAAGUUUUCGGUUAAAUCCAUAUGCUCAACAUAUGGGCCGCCGGGAAUACUGCAAAGCUAGGGAGUGGGAGAGGUAGACGGUACUCCGUAGGAAGGGGUAAAAUCCUUUGAUCUAUGGAUGACCACCUGUGGCGAAGGCGGUCUACCAGAACACGUUCGACGGUGAGGGAUGAAAGCUGGGGGAGCAAACCGGAUUAGAUACCCGGGUAGUCCCAGCUGUAAACUAUGCAAACUCAGUGAUGCAUUGGCUUGUGGCCAGUGCAGUGCCGCAGGGAAGCCGUUAAGUUUGCCGCCUGGGAAGUACGUACGCAAGUAUGAAACUUAAAGGAAUUGGCGGGGGAGCACCACAAGGGGUGAAGCCUGCGGUUCAAUUGGAGUCAACGCCAGAAAUCUUACCCGAAGAGACAGCAGGAUGAAGGCCAAGCUGAAGACUUUACCAGACAAGCUGAGAAGUGGUGCAUGGCCGUCGCCAGCUCGUGCCGUGAGGUGUCCUGUUAAGUCAGGUAACGAGCGAGAUCCUUGCCUCUAGUUGCCACCAUUACUCUCAGGAGUAGUGGGGCGAAUUAGCGGGACUGCCGUAGUUAAUACGGAGGAAGGAGAGGGCCACGGCAGGUCAGUAUGCCCCGAA